Molecule: long non-coding RNA, 1655 nt
Filed under: Sus scrofa (pig)
Lineage: Eukaryota; Metazoa; Chordata; Mammalia; Artiodactyla; Suidae
Description: lncRNA (ENSSSCG00025027871.1)
Source: RNAcentral
GGGGCGCCCCCGGCCUGAGACUCCCUGGAAGCCUCGUCCGCGAGUCGCGGACUCGGGGCCCGGAGGGCGGCGGGAGGUCCUGCGCUGCGGUGCGGCUAUAGCGCCCGCGCUCCCCGCGGAAGAACCGCCGAGUCGAGCGCUGAAGGUGUGGCCCACCAGCAGGAGUGUCAGAACGUGCCGAGCCGCUCGAGUCGGAGUCGCCAGAACCCCCGGAAGACGAGCCGUUCACCGGCAGGCCAACUGGGGCUUCUUCGUGUAGUGGACUGACAGCCAAGCGUCGGGAACGCAGUGUCGUGGGUGUGCGGCUGACCGGGUGAGGAGGAUCUUUCACAGAGACCGUGCCCCUCCGUGGAGUCCAGGAACAGGGCUGCACCUGCAGCAUAUGGACGUUCCCAGGCUAGAGGUCAAAUCAGAGGUACAGCUGCCGGCCUACGUCACAGCCACGGCACCUCAGGAUCUGAGCUGCAUCUGUGACCUACAUCACAGCUCACAGCAACACCGGAUCUUUAACCCACUGAGCAAGGCCAGGCCUCGAACCUGCAUCCUCAUGGAUACUAGUCGCCUUUGUUAACCACUGAGCCAUGAUGGGAACUCAUAUAAUUCCUGAUACAAUGUAAAGGCCAUGUAAUUAGUUGGCAGCACAGGACAAAUUCAAGUUUUGUUUUUUGGAAAUUCGUUUCAAAUAUUUUCCACCCAAAGUUGGUUGAAUCCAUGGAUGAGGUACCCACGGUUAGGAAGAGAUGACUGUACUAUAAUUACCUGCUCAUGUGGCUGUUUAUCCCACUACUGUGUGGGAUUCUUUUUUUCCUUUUUGGCCACCCCUUGCCCUGUGGAAGUUCCCCAGCCCGUGCCACAGCAGCGGCAAUGCCAAAUCCUUAACCCAUUCAGCCCCAGGGAGCUCCCACUGUGGGAUUCUUAACAUAGGGUAUUGUCUUAAUCAUCUCAAUGCCCAGCCACUCUCAGGUCAAUUACUAAUGUUUCCUUGACAGUCGUGUACUAAGAGCUGGGCAUGUUUCACCACUGAUUCCUUGCCAUAAGCCUUUAAUGUAGGCGCUGAGUUGGUGUCACACCACUUUCAACAGAUAAGUGAUCCUCUCCAGGUGACACAGGUAGUAAAUGGUGGAGCCAGUCUCAGGUUUAGCCGUCCUGCCUUCUUUUCUGAGUCCAUGAAGGAAUGGAAAGUCUAGACACAGCUGACGCUGUGGGUCCUGAGCAAGUUCCCUUUCCCAGGCUUAGUUGUAUCACGUUUCGUCAUCUCUUUUUAAGUUUUAGUCAUAUUUUAUUUUUGUUUUUGUCCUUUUAGGGCCGCGCCUGCAGCAUAGGGAAGUUCCCAGGAUGGGGUCUAAUCAAGAGCUGUAGCCACCGGCCUAUGCCACAGCCACAGCCACCUGGGAUCCGAGCCGCGUCUUCAACCUACACCGCAGCUCACAGCAACACUGGAUCCCCAAGCCACUGGGUGAGGCCAGGGAUCAAACCCACAACUUCAUGGUUCCUAGUCGAAUAUGUUUCUGCUGCACCAUGAUGGGAACUCCUGUACCCUUGUCUUUAAGAGAUAAAACCUCCUUAGAAGAUUAGAAAGGCGGACUCUUCUUCCCCUUCCCAGUGUCCGUGCUGGCAGCUAUUUGCUUUCCUGUAAUAAAGACUUGCUUGCUCGC